Non-coding RNA from Podarcis lilfordi (Lilford's wall lizard), 192 nucleotides. The record is from the annotation of a GenBank genome assembly. Lineage: Eukaryota; Metazoa; Chordata; Lepidosauria; Squamata; Lacertidae.
CUGAAGUCUCUCAGCCUUACUCACCUCACAGAGUGUUUGUUGUGGGGGAGGAAGGGAAAGGAGAAUGUUAGCCGCUUUGAGACUCCUUAAAGGGAGUGAAAGGCGGGAUAUCAAAUCCAAACUCUUCUUCUUCUUUCCCUUCCUGCCCCACAAUAAACACUCUGUAAGGUGAGUGAGGCUGAGAGAUUUCAG